CACGUAGGGGGCAAGCGUUGUCCGGAUUUAUUGGGCGUAAAGAGCUCGUAGGCGGUUUGGUAAGUCGGGUGGUAAACCCCCAGGCUCAACCUGGGGACGCCACUCGAUACUGCUGUGACUAGAGUCCGGUAGGGGAGCGUGGAAUUCCUGGUGUAGCGGUGAAAUGCGCAGAUAUCAGGAGGAACACCAGCGGCGAAGGCGGCGCUCUGGGCCGGUACUGACACUGAGGAGCGAAAGCGUGGGUAGCAAACAGG
This 254-nucleotide ribosomal RNA is filed under the name uncultured bacterium. RNAcentral describes it as "partial 16S ribosomal RNA". It matches the Rfam family "Bacterial small subunit ribosomal RNA", at positions 524 to 776 of the family's 1533-position model. The record is from RNAcentral.